Anser cygnoides (Swan goose) is the source of this 2328-nucleotide long non-coding RNA. The record is from Ensembl. Lineage: Eukaryota; Metazoa; Chordata; Aves; Anseriformes; Anatidae.
GUCUUUGUGGUGUUUCACGGAUUUCUCUCAGUUGUGCGUUCCUGAGGCGAAAUUUAAGAAGCCCUCUAAUAAACAGGGCUCAGAGAGUCUAGACUGUGACCAAAUGAAAAAGCCUGCUAGAGUAGCUUUGAUGGAGUGGACUGAAUUUCCCAAAGGAGAAGAUCCGGACUAUUAUAUUGUAACCUAUCAGCACACAGAUGCUUUCAAUCAAAAAGUAAAUGUCAUCAAUCUAAGCAAGAAGUAGUUACAAAUGUAUUUAAGCUGUACGUAUGUAAUUAAUAGCAUUUUUUAAGAUCAAUAUAAAAUGGCAAAUAAAGAGAAACUUUGGAGAAAUUAUACUGAAUUCAGUUAUUCAUGUAGUUUAUAUGAACUUUUACAGAAUCCUUUUGAAGCCAGUGGGACUUAAAAUACCCUUGUGUAUCCUGGUUGAAUAAGGAUAGAUAGACAUAUGUUUGAAGUUCAGAAUAUGUAAAUUCUUCGAAGUUCUCUGGUUUGAAGGAGGACUCCAGCUUCUUCAGGAGAAGCACAAACACUACCCCCAGAUCUUUGUGGCAGGGCAUUGUUCUCAUUUUGCGCACAAGAUGUCCUGGAACUUAAAGAAAAUAAGGAUUUUCAUGUGGAGGUGUUUCUUAAUAGCUUGAACAAUCUCUAAAAGGUUGUGUUAUAAAUGCAUUGGCUAUUUUGCAGUUUAAAUGUAGCCUUAAGUGUGAUGUGCUGCAAUAUCAGAUGUCCAUUUCAAAACCUUCAUAAUUUAUCGUCAUUUUAUCAUCAAACAUUUAGACCAUUUAUGAAUUGUAUUUUUAUUACUUUCACCUUAUCUAGAAAUUCUUUUAAAUUACAGAAUGUAAGAAACAUUUCUAAACUUGAACAAAAACCUGUCAGUACUACAAUUCUGCUGGAGGAAAAUAAGACAUAUGAUGUUACAAUAGAAUCUCUAAAAAAUGGACAUAUCCUAGGUGUAAAGUCAUUUAACACACGUGGAAUUUCAGAAAAUGAUAUCAAAACGUUUGUGACAGCUACUACUGUGUCUUUUAAUUGGAGUGCAAUGACCAAAGAUUUUUCAGUUUCAGUUUCACUGAAUGAUACUUCUCAGUUUAUACAAAAAAACAAUGGAUUCUUUGUGUGGAGUGAUUUGACACCUGCAACUUUAUAUACAUUUGAGUUUAUAUUUCACCAAUUACAUCUUGAAUUUAUAAAUGUGUCUCAAUCACUGGAUGUUCAAGCUGAAACAGGUACCUGUUCCCAGGGGUGGCUGGCAUUCCAAAGCAGCUGCUAUAGAAUGAGUAAGGAGAGUAAGCCAUGGAAGAUGGCACAACAAAUCUGUGAAAUGUCUUCGCAAGGGGCACAUCUUGUAGACAUAGGGAAUGAAGAAGAACGUGGUUUUAUUUUAUCUUAUCUCCAGACAAUUAGUCAAAUAGUCAUGUUAUGGACAGGUCUUAAUGACCUAAAGGACGAAGGUCAGCUGUUAUGGACAGAUGGAUCUCCUUAUCUUCUAAAGGCUGGUAUCUCAUCUUUGUCGAUGAUACCAGAAAAUGAAACAGACUGUUAUGCUCUUCAGAGAGAUCACAGUGGCCCAGACUAUUUCUUCACAGGAUUUUUCUGCUAUAUACAGCUACCAUAUAUUUGUGAAUAUGAAUUACCCCUCAUACCAGAAAACUUCACAUUUAGUGUGCAUGAUAUCAAGUCAACUGAAGCCGUGUUUAUAUGGAGUGAUACCGACAUCUGGCUUAAGUCAGGCUUUGCACUCAUAAUUAAGUACUAUUUUGAUCAUAUGAAACCAUACAUUCUGAGCUUGCCUGUGAAUACAACACAGACGAAAAUCGUGCAGUUGUCUCCUGGCCUUUGCUACAGGUUUUUACUAGCAGCAAGGAACCCAGAUGGGGCACAGACUGUCUUAAGUCCAAUUCUGAAGGUAGAAACAAGGCCAUUGCACUCCCAGAAGUUAGAGACUACAUACGUUUCAUCUGCAGAAAUACAUUUAAAGUGGAAGGCUCCACAGCAUUCAUCCAGUGCUUAUUUUCAUUAUUACCUUAUUAACAUUUUGGAUACUGAAACCAAUGUCUGGGAACAGUUACCAGUUGAAAAAAGAAAGACUUCAAUAGUUAUAGGAAAUGUAAAACCUUAUCAUCAGUAUCAGAUAUAUUUACUGAAUGUAGCAGAGAAGGGAACUCUAAGCUGCCAUGAAAAGCCUAUAUUAAUCACAACAGCUGUCAGUCCACCUAUAGCUGUUUUUAUUUACCCUGAGGAUGUACAAGAAGAGAGUGUAAUUCUUCACUGGAAGCUGUUGCAAGAGGAUCAGGGAUCCUACAUUCAGGUGAAACCUAGUGC